Molecule: ribosomal RNA, 253 nt
Filed under: uncultured bacterium
Lineage: Bacteria
Description: partial 16S ribosomal RNA
Rfam family: Bacterial small subunit ribosomal RNA
Source: RNAcentral
GACGAGCCACACAAACGUUAUUCGGAAUUACUGGGCGUAAAGCGUGCGCAGGCGGCGCGUUAAGACAGGUGUGAAAGCCCCGAGCUUAACUUGGGAAUUGCGCUUGUGACUGGCGUGCUGGAGUGUGGCAGAGGGAGGUGGAAUUCCACGUGUAGCAGUGAAAUGCGCAGAUAUCAGGAGGAACACCGAUGGCGAAGGCAGCUCGCUGGGACGGUACUGACGCUGAGGCGCGAAAGCGUGGGGAGCAAACAGG